GAACGUACGCUGGCGGCACGCCUAACACAUGCAAGUCGAACGAAGUAGCAAUACUUAGUGGCAGACGGGUGAGUAAUAUGUAGGUAUCUGCCCUUUGGCCUGGAAUAACACGAGGAAACUUGUGCUAAUACCGGAUAAGUCUUUACGGAGAAAGCUUUAUGCACCAUUGGAUGAGCCUGCACUUGAUUAGUUUGUUGGUAGGGUAAUGGCCUACCAAGACUUUGAUCAAUAGCUGAUUUGAGAGGAUGAUCAGCCACAUUGGGACUGAGACACGGCCCAAACUCCUACGGGAGGCAGCAGUGGGGAAUCUUGCACAAUGGAGGAAACUCUGAUGCAGCGAUGCCGCGUGAGUGAAGAAGGCCUUUGGGUUGUAAAGCUCUUUCGUCGGGGAAGAAAAUGACUGUACCCGAAUAAGAAGGUCCGGCUAACUUCGUGCCAGCAGCCGCGGUAAUACGAAGGGACCUAGCGUAGUUCGGAAUUACUGGGCUUAAAGAGUUCGUAGGUGGUUGAAAAAGUUGGUGGUGAAAUCCCAGAGCUUAACUCUGGAACUGCCAUCAAAACUUUUCAGCUAGAGUUUGAUAGAGGAAAGCAGAAUUUCUAGUGUAGAGGUGAAAUUCGUAGAUAUUAGAAAGAAUACCAAUUGCGAAGGCAGCUUUCUGGAUCAUUACUGACACUGAGGAACGAAAGCAUGGGUAGCGAAGAGGAUUAGAUACCCUCGUAGUCCAUGCCGUAAACGAUGUGUGUUAGACGUUGGAAAUUUAUUUUCAGUGUCGCAGCGAAAGCGAUAAACACACCGCCUGGGGAGUACGACCGCAAGGUUAAAACUCAAAUGAAUUGACGGGGACCCGCACAAGUAGUGGAGCAUGUGGUUUAAUUCGAAGAUACGCGUAGAACCUUACCAACACUUGACAUGUUCGUCGCGACUCUAAGAGAUUAGAGUUUUCGGUUCGGCCGGACGAAACACAGGUGCUGCAUGGCUGUCGUCAGCUCGUGUCGUGAGAUGUUGGGUUAAGUCCCGCAACGAGCGCAACCCUCACUUUUAGUUGCCAUCAUUUAGUUGGGCACUCUGAAAGAACUGCCAGUGAUAAGCUGGAGGAAGGUGGGGAUGACGUCAAGUCCUCAUGGCCCUUACGUGUUGGGCUACACACGUGCUACAAUGGUAUCUACAACAGGAAGCAAGACGGCGACGUCAAGCAAAUCCUUAAAAGAUACCUCAGUUCGGAUUGCACUCUGCAACUCGAGUGCAUGAAGCUGGAAUUACUAGUAAUCGUGGAUCAGCGUGCCACGGUGAAUGCGUUCCCGGGUCUUGUACUCACCGCCCGUCAA
Molecule: ribosomal RNA, 1326 nt
Filed under: uncultured Alphaproteobacteria bacterium
Lineage: Bacteria; Pseudomonadati; Pseudomonadota; Alphaproteobacteria
Description: bacterial SSU rRNA
Rfam family: Bacterial small subunit ribosomal RNA
Source: RNAcentral